GAGUUUGAUCAUGGCUCAGAUUGAACGCUGGCGGCAGGCCUAACACAUGCAAGUCGAACGGUAACAGGAAGAAGCUUGCUUCUUUGCUGACGAGUGGCGGACGGGUGAGUAAUGUCUGGGAAACUGCCUGAUGGAGGGGGAUAACUACUGGAAACGGUAGCUAAUACCGCAUAACGUCGCAAGACCAAAGAGGGGGACCUUCGGGCCUCUUGCCAUCGGAUGUGCCCAGAUGGGAUUAGCUAGUAGGUGGGGUAACGGCUCACCUAGGCGACGAUCCCUAGCUGGUCUGAGAGGAUGACCAGCCACACUGGAACUGAGACACGGUCCAGACUCCUACGGGAGGCAGCAGUGGGGAAUAUUGCACAAUGGGCGCAAGCCUGAUGCAGCCAUGCCGCGUGUAUGAAGAAGGCCUUCGGGUUGUAAAGUACUUUCAGCGGGGAGGAAGGGAGUAAAGUUAAUACCUUUGCUCAUUGACGUUACCCGCAGAAGAAGCACCGGCUAACUCCGUGCCAGCAGCCGCGGUAAUACGGAGGGUGCAAGCGUUAAUCGGAAUUACUGGGCGUAAAGCGCACGCAGGCGGUUUGUUAAGUCAGAUGUGAAAUCCCCGGGCUCAACCUGGGAACUGCAUCUGAUACUGGCAAGCUUGAGUCUCGUAGAGGGGGGUAGAAUUCCAGGUGUAGCGGUGAAAUGCGUAGAGAUCUGGAGGAAUACCGGUGGCGAAGGCGGCCCCCUGGACGAAGACUGACGCUCAGGUGCGAAAGCGUGGGGAGCAAACAGGAUUAGAUACUCUGGUAGUCCACGCCGUAAACGAUGUCGACUUGGAGGUUGUGCCCUUGAGGCGUGGCUUCCGGAGCUAACGCGUUAAGUCGACCGCCUGGGGAGUACGGCCGCAAGGUUAAAACUCAAAUGAAUUGACGGGGGCCCGCACAAGCGGUGGAGCAUGUGGUUUAAUUCGAUGCAACGCGAAGAACCUUACCUGGUCUUGACAUCCACGGAAGUUUUCAGAGAUGAGAAUGUGCCUUCGGGAACCGUGAGACAGGUGCUGCAUGGCUGUCGUCAGCUCGUGUUGUGAAAUGUUGGGUUAAGUCCCGCAACGAGCGCAACCCUUAUCCUUUGUUGCCAGCGGUCCGGCCGGGAACUCAAAGGAGACUGCCAGUGAUAAACUGGAGGAAGGUGGGGAUGACGUCAAGUCAUCAUGGCCCUUACGACCAGGGCUACACACGUGCUACAAUGGCGCAUACAAAGAGAAGCGACCUCGCGAGAGCAAGCGGACCUCAUAAAGUGCGUCGUAGUCCGGAUUGGAGUCUGCAACUCGACUCCAUGAAGUCGGAAUCGCUAGUAAUCGUGGAUCAGAAUGCCACGGUGAAUACGUUCCCGGGCCUUGUACACACCGCCCGUCACACCAUGGGAGUGGGUUGCAAAAGAAGUAGGUAGCUUAACCUUCGGGAGGGCGCUUACCACUUUGUGAUUCAUGACUGGGGUGAAGUCGUAACAAGGUA
Molecule: ribosomal RNA, 1499 nt
Filed under: metagenome
Description: bacterial SSU rRNA
Rfam family: Bacterial small subunit ribosomal RNA
Source: RNAcentral